CACAACCGCUGAUCAUGGAUCGAGUCAGCCAUCUUGGAGAGGCGCACUAGUUACGACUUCACGCACGCACGGUAUCGACGGCUGCCGCCAGAUGGAUUUUCGCCUCUUCGCCUCGCGAUCGCCGGAACCAGUUGAACAACGGCGGGCAAGCGAUGGCCACCGAGCAUGCGCCAUGCCGUCGCUACUACUUGAGCCGGCGACUCCCCAUCAACGAGACGAGAAGCUGAUUCUAGACAAGGAUAUUGUAGGUAACCUGAAGCUAGCCGAUGGGAAGAAAUCACGGUCACGACGGUUGGCACAAAGAACACUCAUCCUUUAGACCUCACAACCGUGCCAACAACCGCUGUUGCGGUGCAACCACAUUUUUUCAUGACUUUUUCUGAAACAAAUGGCAAAAUAUGUGGCAUAUUUCAUUGAAUAAGGAGAAGAGGUUUAAGUAUAAACGAACACUAACCAUAAAGGAAUCACUCUCUCGGGAUUAUGACUCUAAGGCAUUUCUCCGUGACUUGCUCGA
This is a long non-coding RNA of Triticum aestivum (bread wheat), 514 nucleotides long. RefSeq lists it as uncharacterized. The transcript is spliced from 2 exons. The record is from RefSeq and is a predicted model, not a curated record. Lineage: Eukaryota; Viridiplantae; Streptophyta; Magnoliopsida; Poales; Poaceae.